GACGAACGCUGGCGGCGUGCUUAACACAUGCAAGUCGAACGAUGAUCUCCCGCUUGCGGGGGUGAUUAGUGGCGAACGGGUGAGUAAUACGUGAGUAACCUGCCCUUGACUCUGGGAUAAGCCUGGGAAACCGGGUCUCUUACUGGAUACUAUUUCCUGCCGCAGGGUGGGGGGUGGAAAGGGUUUUACUGGUUUUGGAUGGGCUCCUGGCCUAUCAGCUUGUUGGUGGAGUACUGGCUCACCAAGGCGACGACGGGUAGCCGGCCUGGGAGGGUGACCGGCCACACUGAGACUGAGACACGGCCCAGACUCCUACGGGAGGCAGCAGUGGGGAAUAUUGCACAAUGGGCGGAAGCCUGAUGCAGCGACGCCGCGUGAGGGAGGACGGCCUUCGGGUUGGAAACCUCUUUCAGCAGGGAAGAAGCCACAAGUGACGGUACCUGCAGAAGAAGCGCCGGCUAACUACGUG
Molecule: ribosomal RNA, 469 nt
Filed under: uncultured bacterium
Lineage: Bacteria
Description: partial 16S ribosomal RNA
Rfam family: Bacterial small subunit ribosomal RNA
Source: RNAcentral